RNAcentral lists this long non-coding RNA (1365 nucleotides) under Homo sapiens (human). RNAcentral's name for it is "prostate cancer associated transcript 19". The record is from RNAcentral. Lineage: Eukaryota; Metazoa; Chordata; Mammalia; Primates; Hominidae.
UUCUUUUUUUUUUUUUUUUUUUUUAGCAGACGUCUCACUCUUGUCGCCCAGGCUGGAGUGUAAUGGCAUGAUCUCGCCUCACUGCAACCUCCACCUCCUGGGUUCAAGCAAUUCUCCUGUCUCAGCCUCCCGAGUAGCUGGGACUACAGGCACUCAUCACCACACCUGGCUAAUUUUUGUAUUUUUAGUAUUUUCUGGUGAGGGUCCAGGUUUCCGGAAACAACUCAGAGACAUAUGUUAAGAUGUUAUCUUUAGUUUUCACAGGGAACCAAAUAUGUUACGACUCCAAUUUCCUUGGCUAUUGUUUUAAGUUACCAUUACCUUCUCGUUGAUCAAGUUGCUCAUUUACUUCUCAAGCCUAGCUAGAUGCCUGGAAUUUCCCUUGAAGGAAGUCAAGAUUUUCCUUUAUCUCCAUACUGGCUGAUGGUGAUCGAGUAAGCCCCUAAGAGGGGUCCCUGCUCCAUCUCGAGAUGCUGCUAGAUUCUACAGUGCCUAAUAAACAGCUCUCGCCUGGCCGACAAAGAGCUGCUUGCUCUCUGGAUAGCAAUUCCAAAGUGAACAGACAACAUCCUGUUUGGAAGACUGCCACUCUGUUAGAAGAAGCAUCAGGAAAACCUUUCUUUUGAGCUAUUUAUAACUAACAGCAAUUGACCAAGUAUACUUUUGAACCAUUGGAGAUACUCAUUACUCUUUGAAGGCUUACAGUGGAAUGAAUUCAAAUACGACUUAUUUGAGGAAUUGAAGUUGACUUUAUGGAGCUGAUAAGAAUCUUCUUGGAGAAAAAAAGACUGGAUCUUUCAUUGUAGUACUUCUGAAUUAACCAAAAUCACAGUAUUCUGAAGAUGAUUCUACAAAGCCUGCUGUUUCUACAAAGGCUGCUGAUGAUUUCUACAAAGCCUGCUGUAGUGUUGCUGUGGCCUCUGCUUAAAAAAGUAGAAAACACAUUGAUGCAGCAUGUUCACCCCAACCUCCCUGCCUAAAGGCUCAGGGACCAUCUUGGAAGAGGAAGGCGCGUGAGAUUGUAAGAGCCGAAUUAGGGGGAUGGAGUGUGGAGAAUAAGGACACUUCAUCUUGGAUGCUCACCUGCCAAAUUGACUUCUGAUGAAAGCCAGCUCCAGAAAUGUGCCUACAGUUACUACUUUCACCUAAACCCUGCCCUUAGUCAAAUCCUUCUCUUCUUCUAAGCAAUCAACUUCAAUUCCUUGUAUAACCCACAGUAUAAAAGGGCUUUUAUACCAUUCUAUCCUAUUGCAUGUAAGCCUUGGGUCUGGGAGGUAACAGUGUGGGAUUCCACCAUCUCAUCUCCCUGCCACCCAAACAUGCCUGCUCUUCUUUAAGCAAUAUUAAAUGUUUGUACUUCAGAAA